RNAcentral lists this ribosomal RNA (529 nucleotides) under uncultured bacterium. RNAcentral's name for it is "partial 16S ribosomal RNA". It matches the Rfam family "Bacterial small subunit ribosomal RNA", at positions 355 to 874 of the family's 1533-position model. The record is from RNAcentral.
UGGGGAAUAUUGCACAAUGGGCGCAAGCCUGAUGCAGCCAUGCCGCGUGUGUGAAGAAGGCCUUCGGGUUGUAAAGCACUUUCAGCGAGGAGGAAGGUGGUGAGCUUAAUACGCUCAUCAAUUGACGUUACUCGCAGAAGAAGCACCGGCUAACUCCGUGCCAGCAGCCGCGGUAAUACGGAGGGUGCAAGCGUUAAUCGGAAUUACUGGGCGUAAAGCGCACGCAGGCGGUUUGUUAAGUCAGAUGUGAAAUCCCCGGGCUCAACCUGGGAACUGCAUUUGAAACUGGCAAGCUAGAGUCUCGUAGAGGGGGGUAGAAUUUCCAGGUGUAGCGGUGAAAUGCGUAGAGAUCUGGAGGAAUACCGGUGGCGAAGGCGGCCCCCUGGACGAAGACUGACGCUCAGGUGCGAAAGCGUGGGGCAGCAAACAGGAUUAGAUACCCUGGUAGUCCACGCUGUAAACGAUGUCGAUUUGGAGGUUGUGCCCUUGAGGCGUGGCUUCCGGAGCUAACGCGUUAAAUCGACCGCCU